CCUACGGGAGGCAGCAGUGGGGAAUAUUGGGCAAUGGGCGCAAGCCUGACCCAGCAACGCCGCGUGAAGGAAGAAGGCUUUCGGGUUGUAAACUUCUUUUCUGAGGGACGAAGAUAGUGACGGUACCUCAGGAAUACGCCACGGCUAACUACGCGCCAGCCGCCGCGGUACUACGUAGGUGGCAAGCGUUAUCCGGAGUUAUUGGGUGUAAAGGGCGUGUAGACGGGAAAGCAAGUCAGAUGUGAAACCUCAGGGCUCAACCCUGGGCCUGCUUUGGAAACUGUGUUUCGUGAGUGCUGGAGAGGCAAGCGGAAUUCCGUGUGUAGCGGUGAAAUGCGUAGAUAUACGGAGGAACACCAGUGGCGAAGGCGGAUUGCUGGACAGUAACUGACGCUGAGGCGCGAAAGCGUGGGGAGCAAACAGGAUUAGAUACCCGGGUAGUC
RNAcentral lists this ribosomal RNA (443 nucleotides) under uncultured bacterium. Its description in RNAcentral is "partial 16S ribosomal RNA". It matches the Rfam family "Bacterial small subunit ribosomal RNA", at positions 338 to 795 of the family's 1533-position model. The record is from RNAcentral.